CCCCUAGAUGUUCUGGGCCGCACGCGCGCUACACUGAACAGUUCAACAAGUCUUAACCUUGGCCGAUAGGUCUGGGUAAUCUUUGAACGCUGUUCGUGAUUGGGAUAGACCUUUGCAAUUAUGGGUCUUCAACGAGGAAUUCCUAGUAAACCCAAGUCAUCAGCUUGCAUUGAUUACGUCCCUGCCCUUUGUACACACCGCCCGUCGCACCUACCGAUUGAAUGGUCCGGUGAAAUCUCGGGACGGCGGCUUGGUCGCUUGCGUCCGACUGCUGAAACUUGAUUAAACCAUAUCAUUUAGAGGAAGGUGAAGUCGUAACA
Molecule: ribosomal RNA, 320 nt
Filed under: uncultured eukaryote
Lineage: Eukaryota
Description: partial 18S ribosomal RNA
Rfam family: Eukaryotic small subunit ribosomal RNA
Source: RNAcentral